GAUGAACGCUGGCGGCGUGCUUAACACAUGCAAGUCGAACGAAGUGGAGAUCUUCGGAUUGAAACUUAGUGGCGGACGGGUGAGUAACGCGUGGGUAACCUGCCUCGUACAGGGGGAUAACAGUUAGAAAUGACUGCUAAUACCGCAUAAGCGCACGGUAUCGCAUGAUACAGUGUGAAAAACUCCGGUGGUAUGAGAUGGACCCGCGUCUGAUUAGCUAGUUGGUGAGGUAACGGCUCACCAAGGCGACGAUCAGUAGCCGACCUGAGAGGGUGACCGGCCACAUUGGGACUGAGACACGGCCCAAACUCCUACGGGAGGCAGCAGUGGGGAAUAUUGCACAAUGGGCGAAAGCCUGAUGCAGCGACGCCGCGUGAGCGAAGAAGUAUUUCGGUAUGUAAAGCUCUAUCAGCAGGGAAGAAAAAUGACGGUACCUGACUAAGAAGCACCGGCUAAAUACGUG
This 463-nucleotide ribosomal RNA is filed under the name uncultured bacterium. RNAcentral's name for it is "bacterial SSU rRNA". It matches the Rfam family "Bacterial small subunit ribosomal RNA", at positions 28 to 507 of the family's 1533-position model. The record is from RNAcentral.